This 329-nucleotide RNase P RNA is filed under the name Sphingomonadaceae bacterium. RNAcentral describes it as "partial RNase P RNA component class A". It matches the Rfam family "Bacterial RNase P class A", at positions 1 to 329 of the family's 367-position model. From Rfam's summary of the family: Ribonuclease P (RNase P) is a ubiquitous endoribonuclease, found in archaea, bacteria and eukarya as well as chloroplasts and mitochondria. Lineage: Bacteria; Pseudomonadati; Pseudomonadota; Alphaproteobacteria; Sphingomonadales; Sphingomonadaceae. The record is from RNAcentral.
CCAGAGGGUUGGGCGACCGCUGCUGCGCAGGUGACUGCGCGGGGGAGGAAAGUCCGGGCUCCAGCGAGGAACGGUGCCGGAUAACGUCCGGCGGGGGCGACCCCAGGGAAAGUGCCACAGAAAAUACACCACCGUGCAUUCGUGCCGGCCAGGUCGAAAUGGUGCGGUAAGAGCGCACCGCGCCCCUGGUAACAGGGGUGGCAGGGCAAACCCCACCGGGAGCAAGACCGAAUAGGGGCGGCGCAUGGCAUCCUCCUGCCAGUCGCCCGGGUUGGUUGCUUGACCCCUGAUGCAAAUCCGGGGCUAGAGGAAUGGUCGCACAGCCCCCG